UGGAGAGUUUGAUCCUGGCUCAGGACGAACGCUGGCGGCGUGCUUAACACAUGCAAGUCGAACGGAAAGGCCCUUCGGGGUACUCGAGUGGCGAACGGGUGAGUAACACGUGGGUGAUCUGCCCUGCACUUUGGGAUAAGCCUGGGAAACUGGGUCUAAUACCGAAUAUGAUCAUCGGCUUCAUGGUCGGUGGUGGAAAGCUUUUGCGGUGUGGGAUGGGCCCGCGGCCUAUCAGCUUGUUGGUGGGGUAAUGGCCUACCAAGGCGACGACGGGUAGCCGGCCUGAGAGGGUGACCGGCCACACUGGGACUGAGAUACGGCCCAGACUCCUACGGGAGGCAGCAGUGGGGAAUAUUGCACAAUGGGCGCAAGCCUGAUGCAGCGACGCCGCGUGAGGCAUGACGGCCUUCGGAGUUGUAAACCUCUUUCAGCCCAUACGAAAGCGCAACGUGACGGUAUGUGCAGAAGAAGGACCGGCCAACUACGUGCCAGCAGCCGCGGUA
RNAcentral lists this ribosomal RNA (503 nucleotides) under Mycobacterium sp. N102. Its description in RNAcentral is "bacterial SSU rRNA". It matches the Rfam family "Bacterial small subunit ribosomal RNA", at positions 1 to 522 of the family's 1533-position model. The record is from RNAcentral. Lineage: Bacteria; Bacillati; Actinomycetota; Actinomycetes; Mycobacteriales; Mycobacteriaceae.